ACAUACGGGUCUGCAGCGGAGGCGAGCAGGAGGUUUGCAAAGAGGAAACUCCCUUUCGGAAUGGAAAGCCGCUUUUGCUUCUUGUUGUUGGGGGUGGAAAACAUUCCAGCGAGAAUGAGUUCAAAAAGAAGGGAAACCGCGUCACUGGAGAGAAAGUAACAUUAAGAGAUCGAUGAGGACGGAGUGGGUAGGGGGGACAGAGAGAGGAACGUCUGCAACAGGCAUCUAAAAACAAGCGUGGAGGAGCAAAGAUUCCCAAUCCCCGGGUUACUACCGCGCGCGUUC
This 285-nucleotide long non-coding RNA is filed under the name Homo sapiens (human). RNAcentral describes it as "non-protein coding lnc-IRAK1BP1-8:1". Lineage: Eukaryota; Metazoa; Chordata; Mammalia; Primates; Hominidae. The record is from RNAcentral.